Molecule: long non-coding RNA, 851 nt
Organism: Oncorhynchus tshawytscha (Chinook salmon)
Lineage: Eukaryota; Metazoa; Chordata; Actinopteri; Salmoniformes; Salmonidae
Source: Ensembl
UUAGCUUCUUAGCUAGCUGUAAAAAACCAUGUUAUUAGCAUAUUUAGCUAGCUCAAACCAGCUAUUCUGCAACAGCCACGCACGAUGGAUAUCAGAAAUUGGUUUCACCAAAGUAUCCAAACAAAGCGAAAGGAGAAGGGGAAACCUGGCUACUGUGUCAGUGGUUGUUAGAAGUUCCACUCUGACAUCAAAGUCAGACUCGAAGGUACAGGGCUGCUGAAGGCAGUGAGGCCACCAGGACAGAGGACAAGAGACUGUAAAAGACUGUUCUUCAGCCCGUUGGAUGCUGUCAUUGGUGAAGUAUGAAAUAUUCUGCUAACAUAAAAGCCAACUGGUGGAGGGCCUGCGUGCCCUUGACCGAGAGAGCCAUACCUUUCUAGAUGUGAAAACAUUAAACCACUGCUGGAUCUACGCAAAUCAAAUUUGGUAGAAGCUGAGUUUAGUGUUGCUCACUAGUUUUUGCAGUUUGAAAUUUCCGGCUCUGGCUCCAAUGAGGACAAAUGGACCCCACUUGAUAUCCUGCAACUAUUCUCUGGGCUUUUCUCCGCUAUGCCGACUGUGCUUACCACACUGAAACAUGUAUUGACUUUUGGUGCGUCCACAGCUACAUCCAAGAACUCGUUUUUCACUUUGACAAACGUAUUCAGUCAGCACAGAAGGAGUAUGCUACACCUGAGGAAAGCUCAACUAAUACAAUUGGCAUUUGAGGGGGAUCUUAAAAAGAACAAUGGAAUGAUUGAUUACUCGGGAAGUUCUACAGAGCUUCAAGGAGGCUGCAACUCUUCUGUAAAGAGAGUGUACUUUUCCUGUAGGAUACCUGGCUCUACCUGCCAUUCAGGUACAUACAACCC